GUCGAAGGUGGGGCUGAUGACUGGGGUGAAGUCGUAACAAGGUAUCCGUACCGGAAGGUGCGGAUGGAUCACCUCCUAACAGGGAGACAACACAAUGAUUUUGAUGCCUGAGUGCUUUUAUUCUUAGGCCGAAAUCCUGUCACCUUAGGUCGAUCGGUACCUCAGCUUUGAAGUCAAGGAUCAGCAGCAAUGUUGAUUGCUUGAUGGAGAUUUUCAGUUCCUAAACUUUGUCUAGGUCACACCCCAAAAGGGAUGAGACUCCUGGGCCAUUAGCUCAGGUGGUUAGAGCGCACCCCUGAUAAGGGUGAGGUCCCUGGUUCAAGUCCAGGAUGGCCCAUUCGGUGUUGGGGGUUUAGCUCAGUUGGUAGAGCGCCUGCUUUGCAAGCAGGAUGUCAGGAGUUCGAGUCUCCUAACCUCCACUGACCGAACUUGAUUCCCAUCUCCAAUUUUUUGGAGUUGAGCUCGAUUGGAGUGUGAUUUAGAUGUGUCCGCUGGAUGACCCCAGCUUCCUGUCAUUCCAAGUUUUAGGUUAAAGCCUUGAAUUUGGUUGAUAAGAUGCUGGGCUCGGAUCAAGUGAUCAAGCAAUUGAUGAUUUGAUUUGAAGUUCUAGCAGAACCUUGACAACUGCAUAGGUGAGUCUGGAAAAAACAAAGCAUCUUACAGAUGCAUUGUUUUGAAUCUGAUCUUCUGAAAGGGAGAUUGGAUCUAGAACAAUGAAAAUUCUUUUGAGCAAGAGCCGAGACUCUUGAGCGUUCUUUGAUUGGUGUCGAGCCAAUCAGAGUUUGAUCUUGUUUUUAGCAAUAAAAACUUGAGAAUCUGCUUUCAACGGCGGUAAGCGUUCAGGAGGUUAAUUGGUCAAGCUACAAAGGGCUCACGGCG
RNAcentral lists this unclassified non-coding RNA (879 nucleotides) under uncultured Synechococcus sp. Its description in RNAcentral is "partial may contain 16S ribosomal RNA, 16S-23S ribosomal RNA intergenic spacer, and 23S ribosomal RNA". The stretch from base 347 to 419 matches the Rfam family "tRNA". The record is from RNAcentral. Lineage: Bacteria; Bacillati; Cyanobacteriota; Cyanophyceae; Synechococcales; Synechococcaceae.